This 497-nucleotide ribosomal RNA is filed under the name uncultured bacterium. RNAcentral's name for it is "partial 16S ribosomal RNA". It matches the Rfam family "Bacterial small subunit ribosomal RNA", at positions 28 to 507 of the family's 1533-position model. The record is from RNAcentral.
GAUGAACGCUGGCGGCGUGCCUAAUACAUGCCAGUCGAGCGAACAGACGAGGAGCUUGCUCCUCUGACGUUGGCGGCGGACGGGUGAGUAACACGUGGAUAACCUACCUAUAAGACUGGGAUAACUUCGGGAAACCGGAGCUAAUACCGGAUAAUAUAUUGAACCGCAUGGUUCAAUAGUGAAAGACGGUUUUGCUGUCACUUAUAGAUGGAUCCGCGCCGCAUUAGCUAGUUGGUAAGGUAACGGCUUACCAAGGCGACGAUGCGUAGCCGACCUGAGAGGGUGAUCGGCCACACUGGAACUGAGACACGGUCCAGACUCCUACGGGAGGCAGCAGUAGGGAAUCUUCCGCAAUGGGCGAAAGCCUGACGGAGCAACGCCGCGUGAGUGAUGAAGGUCUUCGGAUCGUAAAACUCUGUUAUUAGGGAAGAACAAAUGUGUAAGUAACUAUGCACGUCUUGACGGUACCUAAUCAGAAAGCCACGGCUAACUACGUG